Molecule: non-coding RNA, 95 nt
Organism: Coniochaeta sp. 2T2.1
Lineage: Eukaryota; Fungi; Ascomycota; Sordariomycetes; Coniochaetales; Coniochaetaceae
Source: the annotation of a GenBank genome assembly
GGGGGUGUAGUCUAGUGGUUAUGAUUUCUGCUUUGCAAGCUCUUCCACGAGCUCUGAAUUGCAGAGGGUCCCGUGUUCAAAUCAUGGCGCCUCCA